CGCGGGGUAGCUCAGUUGGGAGAGCGCUGGACUCAUAAUCCAGAGGUCGUCGGUUCAAGUCCGAUCCCCGCAA
Molecule: transfer RNA, 73 nt
Filed under: Rhizobium phage V1VFA-S
Lineage: Duplodnaviria; Heunggongvirae; Uroviricota; Caudoviricetes
Description: tRNA-Met
Rfam family: tRNA
About the family: Transfer RNA (tRNA) molecules are approximately 80 nucleotides in length.
Source: RNAcentral